RNAcentral lists this ribosomal RNA (327 nucleotides) under Haemodracon riebeckii. Its description in RNAcentral is "partial 12S ribosomal RNA". It matches the Rfam family "Bacterial small subunit ribosomal RNA", at positions 870 to 1366 of the family's 1533-position model. The record is from RNAcentral. Lineage: Eukaryota; Metazoa; Chordata; Lepidosauria; Squamata; Phyllodactylidae.
CGCCAGAGAAUUACAAGUGAAAACUCAAAACUCUAAGGACUUGACGGUGCCCCACACCCACCUAGAGGAGCCUGUCCCAUAAUCGAUAAUCCACGAUCAACCUUCCCCCCUCUUGCAGCCUAUAUACCGCCGUCGCCAGCUAACCUUUUGAAAGCUAAAAAGUUAGUACAACAGCCCCUCGCUAAUACGUCAGGUCAAGGUGCAGCUAAUGAGGGGGCGCGAGAUGGGCUACAUUUUCUACCACCUAGAAAACUGCCGAAGGCCCCAAUGAAAACAAGGCCGAUAGAUGGAUCUAGCAGUAAACAAAACAAGAGAUGUUAAGUUGAA